GCUGGAUGACUCUCCCGUUUCCUAUAAAUUGAUGGGUUGCCCUUCCUCUUCCUAAACCCUACACCCGCCGACCGGGUUCCGCUCCGCGGCGUCGAAGAUGGAAGGUUAGUAUUUUCUUCGAGCAUCGUCGGUUUCCGUCUAUGGAUUGCUGUCCGGAUCACCGUGCUGCAUAUGCGAAUGCGUCCCUGUUUUUCGAUCUUUUCCACGGCUCUAGUCGUUCAUGCACCAGCGACCUGUGACGGGGGAUGAUUUUCUGGGUGAAGUCUCCCUUGCUGUUUCGGAGCAGACCUCUCAUGUUUGCAGAUUCCGCGGCAAACGUCAAAUAGUAACCUAAUGGAAGUUGAUGGCUCGUCCGCAAGAGUGCACAUGCAUUUUUGCAGGGCGAACCUCCUUCUUGUACUGCCUCAUAUUCCAUCGCCUUCGGGAGCAGCGUCGCUGCCAUUACCUGUUGGGACUGGCCAUGAGGCGGAUAUUAUCUUAGUUAUCGCCGGCUCAGAAUCAUAGCUUAAAUGCGUUUGCUCCAGAUCCGAUCGAUUGUAUAUGAUUCGUGCUGAAAACAAAUAAUGCGAAAGAUAUCAUCAAUGUCCUUCGCUAUGUAUGGAAUCAUUUCCCACGGUUUCUCGUCAAUCUUCAGCGUCAAUUAACGGCGAAGCAGAAGUUUCCUUGAUUGGAUCUUUCUUGAGUUGAUCCAAGCAAUUUAUUCAAUCCCUGCAAUAUCGAUGCGUGUCGGUUUCACUCACCUGGUUCUGACUAAUAAUGAUUUACCAGGCCCUUUGCAUCUGGCACAUUUUUUAUUUCUGUUCUUGUCAUGUCCCGAUUUCACAAGGACAUGAUCCAUUUCAGUUGCCUGAGCAAACGCACUCUGUCGCAAAACUAUCCAUGAUGUGAGUCAUGUCGAGGAGGUCAUAUGUUUUGUGCCAAUUUCUACGUUUGCGAAAUAAAGGGUUUCCGUUCCCAAUCAGCUCUACUGCAAGUCACUACUCAUGCUGUUGCGGACGCAUGGUUGGCAUACAUCUUGAAUCUUCUCUGGUGUUCCGCGACUUGUGCAAGAACGAUUUUCUUAUUUUUCAUUUAAAAUGAUUAAAUCGUUGCUUCCAUUUCGAAUUUUUUUUCUGGAAUGAACCCUUUUUCUACGGGCUCGUUCUUUAAAUCGAAGCAUAGAGAGAUCGUACACGGCCAGUUUUAAACAGCAUGAUGUGUAUGGUCGUCUGCAUCGUGUUACCUGUCUUCUGGUAAAUUUAUGUCUGGCGCUGAACAUUUUCCAUCACCGCGUUGCAGAUGCCAUGAGAAGAAUGCGUGACGUCUGUGGAUAGUCAGUCAUCCUUGAUGGGCUUCUCCUGUUGGAUGCCCCUCGCCCUAUGAUGGGUUAUUUUUGUGUGAAUAUGCUCGUAAAUAAUAUUGAAUGGUUUGUACAGCUCCUCACGCUCUAAGUGCGAUUGCAUGAAAGAAAUUUUAUGAUGCAUCUGUGAGAUUUGGGUAUGCGUGGUGAAGGCGAAGUCUCGGGCAGCUCCCAGGAAAUUCAUUGGGUUAUCUUGAGUUAGAUUAAUCGAUGUGGAAGUAUAUAAGUGACUAUAUAAGGUUAAAAAGCUGACCUUUUUUUACAAGGAAACCCUUCGAUUUUUGGAUUUUUUCAUUAGCUUGGUUCUAGUCAAGAGAAGUCACUUUGAAUGCAACAUAAUGCCACAAACUGCCCACCCUUGUCAAAUAUCAGUUUUAUAGAUAAAGAUUCUACCUCCUGUAUGACUUCUUGGCCGCCAUGUUGGUGAAUGUAAUAGUCUGCUAAAAUUUCAUGGCAUAGAGGACAGACAAACCAGCCAACCCUUGAGAUGUAACAAUUUAAACCACCCACUCAGAGGUAGGUUUUUGCCCACAGCUGUGGCACAAAUCAUCUCACAACAUAAGAAAAAUUUACCCAAAAAUGUGGGUAGAAUUAACACGUUCAGUUAGAGCUCCACCAUAAUUUCAAGGGAAGGACAGAUCUCUUACUAUCUCCCCCCCAUGUAGGAGCCCAUCUCAUCCCCCACUCUAGAGGAGCCCUAACCAAGUGUAUUACACUUACAAACCUAAUGAGAUAAGAUGAACAAGUAGAGGAAAUUUUAAUUGUAGAAAGAAUAAAAGUUGUAAAGUUGAUAAGUUGCUCAAAAUCAAAUGCACAAACUCUAAACAUUUUUCCCUCUAAAUAUUGGAACGUAAAAGGUAUGCUCCAAUGUUCUUGUAGGCCAUACCUACAAAAAUCACAUUUCACAAACAUAACAUGGCAUGUUGUUAGACAAUAUUUUGAAAUAGAG
RNAcentral lists this long non-coding RNA (2288 nucleotides) under Spirodela polyrhiza (greater duckweed). RNAcentral describes it as "long non-coding RNA (SPOL_LNC002476)". The stretch from base 1088 to 1240 matches the Rfam family "small nucleolar RNA snoR137". The record is from RNAcentral. Lineage: Eukaryota; Viridiplantae; Streptophyta; Magnoliopsida; Alismatales; Araceae.